AAAAUGAGAGGUGUUGUUUGGUUAGAUAAUUCCGUUAAAACGGAGAAAAAUGAAAGUAAUUCACUACCUGAAUUGAGAAUUUCAGCUGAUACUUCACAUUUUACCUAUAAUAACAAGCAGGGCCAUCGAUCUGCUAUUCGAAUUUCGAGGAUUUUAUCGGAGACAUUGAGGUUGGGAAAAGAGAAUGUGCGGUGGUUUGUGAUGGGUGAUGAUGAUACUGUAUUCGUAACGGAGAAUUUGUUGAGAAUUUUAAAUAAAUAUGAUCAUAAUCAGUACUAUUACAUUGGUAGUUUGAGUGAAAGUCAUUUGCAGAAUAUUUAUUUUUCUUAUAGUA
RNAcentral lists this unclassified non-coding RNA (334 nucleotides) under Hevea brasiliensis (rubber tree). The record is from RNAcentral. Lineage: Eukaryota; Viridiplantae; Streptophyta; Magnoliopsida; Malpighiales; Euphorbiaceae.